UGAGGACCGCUCACCCUUGAAGGUGAGGCGAGACUGUCAUGAACAGCACACACCGGGGAGGCCCCGGAGCUGUGAUCAGCGAGCCCCAAGGGUGUUGGCUCCCGCAUGGGGAGGCCCCGGAGCUGUGACCAGGGAGGCCCCGGGGCUGUGAUCAGCGAGCCCCAAGGGUGUUGGCUCCCGCAUGGGGAGGCCCCGGAGCUGUGACCAGGGAGGCCCCGGGGCUGUGACCAGCGGGCCCCCGAGGGCAUCGGCGUCAGCCUGGGGCAGCGGUGUUAGUGGUCCCUGAGCAACGCAGCGGUGGCCCGUUUGCCUCCCGGCCAGUUCUCUAGCCACAAGAUCCAAAGUCUGUGUGGUCAGCUCCUGGGAGGCCCCCAGGCUUCCUUAAGCCUUUCCGUGUCUGAGGAGGACAGGAUCCCAUGGGCACAAGUCAAGGGAGAACUGAGCCCACCGAGAAAUCUGGAGAAGAACCUGCGAAGAAGCAGUUCGGGGAAAUGCGCUCGCUCUCGGCGCUCACUUUGGACGAAGCCAACACGUUUCACCUGGUCCCACCUGGGUGAAGUACAAGAAGGUCCCAGGACGGCCCCCAGAGGAGCCUGCCUGCCUCUUCUCGUCCGUCUGUCAGCUGCCCUGAGCCUCUCUGUGUCCUCAGGUGUGUGGCUGAUGGGGCCGCUGGGCUCUGAGCUGAGUGUGAUCCCCACAGAAAGAAGACGGUCCUCCGGAGGAGGGGGGGGACGUGCAGAGGAGCCCCAGGUCCAUACCCGGAUGGGGCCUGGUCCCUCAGGCCCUGCGGCGAUGUGUGCCCCCCUUUGUGAGGCGAGCAGGCUCGCAUCACGGAGGGACCAGCAAGGAAGCUUCCAGUUCUGCCCCGUCGACUGGGCUCUGCGGCUGCCGAAGGCUGACCGCACACCCACUUGCAAGCAGGGCCGGGCUCGGGGACGAGCGUAUGGAAGUCACCCUGGGAGCCGAAGGGGGCCCCAGCGCGUGCCUCUGUCCCGGGACGCACCCCUCCCCGACGGCUCAGGGGGCCGUGUGCGCUCUGACCAGCGGGGCCACCGCACUCAGACCUGGUGGACUUAGGAGGACGAGCAUCCCGCCCACCUGGGUUGUAUCGCUUGACGACACGCUUUUGUGCGCGAGGCCGGAGCACAUCCUGUGACACGUGGGCUGAGGGAGAGCUCGACGGCACCCCAUAGUGAGUGGGGGCGCUCCCCCGGAACACACCGAGCAGCCCGUGCUCUCCGAGACCCGAUGGACGGACGCCAAGGCCUCGGGGCAGAGCACGGAUCUCCUGGCACACAGACGGCUGGAUGCAGAGGGAGCGGUUUUCCCCAAGUUUGCAAAGCGGCAAAUGUAGCUCCCCGGUCCCGGGACACUGGACAUUUUCACGUCAAGUCAGUUCCGGUCCACUGGAUGCAAGCCUCGGGCGGAAUCGGGUGUGGCCUCACCCCCGGGGAACUGAAGGCUUUAAUGAUAAAACAAAACCUAUCACCAGUAUAAAAAGUUGUGCCCGGGCACUGAUUUAGAAUAUUUAAAAACUGUUCUGAUUUUAA
This is a long non-coding RNA of Panthera uncia (snow leopard), 1550 nucleotides long. RefSeq lists it as uncharacterized. The record is from RefSeq and is a predicted model, not a curated record. The transcript has 3 exons. NCBI's taxonomy places the organism in Eukaryota, Metazoa, Chordata, Mammalia, Carnivora, Felidae.